GCCAGGAUGAUAUAGUGGUUUGAGUACUGGACUAUGACUCUGGAGACCUAGAUUCAAAUCCCAGUUUGGCCA
This is a non-coding RNA of Phrynosoma platyrhinos (Desert horned lizard), 72 nucleotides long. Lineage: Eukaryota; Metazoa; Chordata; Lepidosauria; Squamata; Phrynosomatidae. The record is from the annotation of a GenBank genome assembly.